AAGACACACACACACACACAAAAGGAUACACAUCAAGCAAAGGAGAAAGACGAACCAACGCAGACGAUGAGAAGAGCGAAGAGAGGAUCAACGAUAAAGUAUGCGUAGUUUCGUGUGACUGUGUGACUGUAGUGGAGCUUGAAAGGAUGAGAACCACAGUGUGUGUGUGCGCGCUUGUACAGAAGGAAGAAGGAAAAAGGAACAGCAGCCAAGAACAGAGGUACUACUGAAUGGCCACACCGAAAAUGUCAGAUGCCUAGCGCCUUUUUUGUUCUUUCUGUUGUCUCUGUCUUCCUGAUGUUCUCCCCUCGCGUCUUUCUCUUGUCUAUGCCGCCGCCCCGCCUCGCCCCUUUUCUCUAUUCUCUUCAGUCAGCAAUAUCCUCGCGCUUCUCUCACCUUUACCCUUUUACUUGUUUGUUUUUCGUCAUUCUUCUGCAUGCCUCUCCACGGCUGCGCUUGCCUCCCUGUUCCUUCCUUUCUUCGCGCUGUUUCGGUGUUUACUUCUAUUGUGCAUCGUGGGCGUGUUCUCCGUGUUGGCUCCGCUCCCUCGCUAUCCUCCUCCCUUUUGGUCGUCGAACGAGGAAUCCUUAUAUAAAUCCUUGUCUGCCGCCUGCUGAGCGUGCGAAGACCUUUUCGGACCUCAUUGCCGGGCCAAGAAGUACGCGAAAAAAGAAACAAGAAGGGGUGAGGGAGGGGCAAAAUUGCUGACAGGCGAUCAUCACCGCAGCAGCUGAGACGAGCGUGAAUGUGGUUUUGCCUGUGAAUUCGGAGAUGAUUCUUUUCGUGCCUGUCUCUAUUUCUAUUUUCUUUUCCAUAUUUCUUUCCUCGAAUGGGCCGGUGAUGCGCGCGCCCCCAGUGAGAGAACUAGCGGAUGCCUUCCAGUUUUUGCGUGUUUUUGUUGCCUCCUUUCUCAUUUCGUUCUUCGCGCGCGCGUAAGCGUGAUUGUGAGUUUUUCUUUGCCUUUGCAUCUGUGAUACGCUCUUGCUUCAUGGGUUACUCCCGUUUUUUUUUUCGUUCUCUUCUGUCGUUCUCUCUCGAGGUCUCUGACGCUUCAUUGCACACCUGUCCACCGCCCUCUUCUCCCUCCCCUCUCUCCACAUCGGCCGUGUUCGAGGUUGCGCCUUGUUUCUUAUGCUUUUUUUUUGAAGCCGGUGCUCUUCCUUAUAUUCUGUGGGUUUCUUCCUGUUGUGUUCCCUCUGUUUUCCGGCUUGAUCCAUUCCCUUGUGACUCCUCCUUUGCUUCCCCCCUCUCUCUUGCUGUGUUGGCGGCUACUCGUGUCACGGCGAAACAAGUCAAGGGCAUGCUUCACAAGUAUCGAUAACAGCAACAGCGGAUAAGAAGGGAAAAGGGGCAUUUCUCUGCGAAAAAGGCAACAACAAAGAAAUAAAGUUGGAGUAGUCGACUAUGCAUGCCUGGUUAUAAGCGCACCUAUCUGCACCCCUCCCUGCGCCACUGCCUCUCUCCCCUUCCCUUCGAACACACGCACACCCACACCCACACCAG
This 1503-nucleotide unclassified non-coding RNA is filed under the name Leishmania donovani. RNAcentral's name for it is "gene:unknown". The record is from RNAcentral. Lineage: Eukaryota; Euglenozoa; Kinetoplastea; Trypanosomatida; Trypanosomatidae.